GAGUUUGAUCAUGGCUCAGGAUGAACGCUAGCGGCAGGCUUAAUACAUGCAAGUCGAGGGGCAGCAGCUUUAUAGCAAUAUAGAGGCUGGCGACCGGCAAACGGGUGCGGAACACGUACACAACCUUCCUUGAAUAGGGGGAUAGCCCAUAGAAAUGUGGAUUAAUACCCCGUAAUAUAGCGGUGUGGCAUCACACUGUUAUUAUAGUUUCGGCGAUUCGAGAUGGGUGUGCGGCUGAUUAGGUAGUUGGCGGGGUAAAGGCCCACCAAGCCUUCGAUCAGUAGCUGAUGUGAGAGCAUGAUCAGCCACACGGGCACUGAGACACGGGCCCGACUCCUACGGGAGGCAGCAGUAAGGAAUAUUGGUCAAUGGACGCAAGUCUGAACCAGCCAUGCCGCGUGAAGGAUGAAGGUCCUCUGGAUUGUAAACUUCUUUUAUAGGGGGCGAAAAAAGGUCUUUCUAGAUCACUUGACAGUACCCUAUGAAUAAGCACCGGCUAACUCCGUGCCAGCAGCCGCGGUAAUACGGAGGGUGCAAGCGUUAUCCGGAUUCACUGGGUUUAAAGGGUGCGUAGGCGGGUAGGUAAGUCAGAGGUGAAAUCCUGGAGCUUAACUCCAGAACUGCCUUUGAUACUAUCUAUCUUGAAUAUGGUGGAGGUAAGCGGAAUAUGUCAUGUAKCGGUGAAAUGYAUAGAUAUGACAUAGAACACCUAUGGCGAAGGCAGCUUAYWACGCCUAUAUUGACGCUGAGGCACAAAGCGUGGGGGUYAAACAGGAUAA
RNAcentral lists this ribosomal RNA (779 nucleotides) under uncultured Bacteroidota bacterium. RNAcentral's name for it is "bacterial SSU rRNA". Lineage: Bacteria; Pseudomonadati; Bacteroidota. The record is from RNAcentral.